Cavia porcellus (domestic guinea pig) is the source of this 3141-nucleotide long non-coding RNA. RefSeq lists it as uncharacterized. NCBI's taxonomy places the organism in Eukaryota, Metazoa, Chordata, Mammalia, Rodentia, Caviidae. The record is from RefSeq and is a predicted model, not a curated record. The transcript has 3 exons.
CCUCCAGUUGUCCUUGCUGACUUUGGUGGCUGGGGGCGGGGUGGGAAGCACAGAGGACUUAUUGUGUGAUGUGUUCCUCUCCUCUGGCCAUUUUGGCAAGCAACCGAGGAGCUGAAAACAGGCGGAUGUGAGGUUUUUUUUUUUUUUUUUUUUUUAAAGGACUGUAGUUGGAAAGGGGUGAAACCCCAGUCUUGUUGAGCUUGGCUCCCCACUCUUGGGAGGAGAAAUAACCCUUCGUACUUGUUGAGGAAAGGGCUGGAGAGAAGACUCCGCUGUUCCUUGUGCUGCCAAUGGACAGGCUGAGGUUUGGAGGCCUGUAGUGAACACGCAGACUAGAGACUAGGGUGAUGGCUAGAACACAGAGUAACUGACUUCUGGGAACCACCUGCCUAGCUGUGAAGUUGUGCUUCUUAUCUAGCAUUGCUGAUCAGAAGGACCCAUUCUCCGAGCUGUCUACUCAUCACUCCUCUGUCUCCCUCCCGCUGGGCGCUGGGCCAGGGCUCUGAUGUGACCUCCAGUGACCUGGAGGGAGGCGGUGACAAGAGAAGGCAGGCAGAGGGCUAGACCUGAGGACUGCAAAGGCCUGAGAUGGGGACGGGAUCUGGGCCUUCACCUAGGUCUGAAAGUCAUUUGGAGAGCUGAUGGGGAAUUCCAACGUAGGCAAGAGCCUUGCCUCCACAGAGCUUACAGCAAUUCCACGACUGCAGUUCUGUCUUGGCCUCAAGGUUGAACCAAUCUCCCUGGAAGUAUGAGCCUUCAGGCUGCUAAAUACACAUUAAGAGGUUUGCUGAUUGUGACAGUCUGAUGAUGGCUGGAAGAUCUUUUCAAUCAACCAUUAGACUCCUCUAUGUACAAAGAAGGAGGUGGGUACAUUCUUAAUGUGUUAGUUAAAAACCUUUAAUAUAUGUAUAUAUCAGUAAUCUCACCUCCGAUAUAACUUGGACUGUCCAAAGGUCAUAAUUACCAGUGGUACAUGGAAGGUAGUCAAGACUAGAAUAACCUGGAGAGAAACAAAAGCACUCUUGUCAAUAAUAAAGAUAUUCCAAUGACAUGUUGACAUAUUAUGAAAUUAAAUCACACCUGUAAGAUUGGUCACUUUGUAGCAGACUAUAUUGCAGUAUAUUUUUUAAAAAAUGAAGACGGCCAGGGAUUUAGCUCAGUGGCACAAGUGCCUGCCUGGCAAGUGUGAGUUCGUGAGUUUGAUCCCCAGUACCAAAAACAACAACAACAAAAUUAAAUAAAAGACAAUAUGUCAGCCACCAGUGAAUGUAUAAAGGGCCUAGAUCUCAUACCCUAUGGAUUCAAAUAUAAAACAUUAAAUUCAUUUGGGCCAGGGAUUGGCUCAGUGGCACAAGCAUCUGCCUGGUAUACACAAGGUCAUGAGUUUGAUCUCUGAUACAAAAAAAAAAAAAAAAAGGAAGAAGAAGAAAGAAGAAGAAGGAGGAGGAGAAAGGAGAAAGGAGAAAGAAGAAGGAAGAAGGAAGAAGAGGAAGAGGAAGAAGAAGGAGAAGGAGGAGAAGGAGAAGAAGAAGAAGAAGAAGGAGAAAGAAAGAAAGAAAGAAAGAAAGAAAGAGAAAGAAAGAAAGAAAAAGAAAGAAAGAAAGAAAGAUAGAUGAGAAGGACAAAAUUUCUAGGACUUAUCAUUGUAAGUCCAGAUAUCCUCAACUCACUUUGUUGGGAUGUUACCCCUUCUCAAUUGAGGUAGUGCAACAGAGCUACUCAAAUAUACAUUGCAAUAAAGGAAGGACUGAACUACUUUUGUACCCAAAUUAUUGCAAGAUAUUCUCAGGCAAGAACCAUCUCUUAUUUUUCUGCCUAUGGAGGUUACUGUGGGUGUUCUCAUAGAGGUUACUGUGUCACAUAUAUUUGCCCAUCCUGUCUUUCUGCUGUUAGUUCUCCAUGAAAUUCAUUUUAUAAAUAAUUACUUAUUUAUAAAAAGUAUACAAUAGAAAAAGAUCUUGGUUAGAUUAGUAUUGGAGUCUAAGGAACCUCAAAAAGCUAUAAAAGAAAUCUCAGAGAUGCCAACUAUCUUACCCAAAUGGAUAAAUUGUAAAAACUGGGGUUAUAACUCAAAUUUUAGAAGAAACUGAAACAAACUUUAAAAAAAUUCUACUGGAAACUUAAAAACUAAUUAAAAUAAGAACUUGUUUUUCAAAACCAAAAUGUAUUUCUUUAAACUUCUAAUAUAGCUAUCAUGUGACUCAAAGCUAUGAUCACUGGAAUAUGAGGAGGCAUGUGACAGGGCCCCUUCCCUCUCUCAGGCAGAUAACGAACCAAACCCUGAUUCAAGACCUGAGACCCAUUUAUCUUGAAUGCACCGUCUUAGCAGGGUGCCACCUACAUAAAAGGAGGGAUAAGGAGCUGACUGCCUUCCUCUAUUCCCUAGUCUUGGGGUACUUCUUUUUGAAAUAGACAGGGAUAAUAGAGUUUAACACCCAGGGGCCCAAAGGUACCACAGUCCUUUAACACAACUGUGGGAAAGAAUACAGGAAAAACACACAAUUUAGGAGUACAAAUGCCAAAUGUGUAAUGUGCUCUUUUCUGCUUCCUCACAGAGAUUCUUCCAAGUAUUAUCUCAGCACACAGCACUGUAUUCCCUUUCUUCUGCUUGCUCAUUUUGAUACUAAGAAGCUAAUAAAGAUUAAAAGAGUGUCUAUUUUAGCUGGGUGUGGUUGUGCACACCUGUAAUCCCAGCACUCAGGAGGCUGAGGCAGAAGGAUCAUUGCAAAUUCAUGGUCAGCUUGGGUUACAUAGUGAGUUCAAAGCUACCCUGAAUUUACAUAGUGAGACCCUAACUAAAAAAAAAAAGACAAACAAACAAACAAGUCUAUUUUCCUAUUAUGAAAGAAGGUGGUAAAAAAUGUCUCCAGUUUUAAAGCAAAACCAAACCAACAACUUCCUGAAAGUCUGUCCUGUAAACAACAUGCAUUUGCUCCAACUGAGGCUGAAAACCGUUUCAGAAAGUAAUGAGAUUUAGUGCUUCCACUCCCAAUCUACAUCCCCUUACUUGACCGAAAUAAAUACUACUUACCCCAGUGCGAUCUCCAACCCAGGACAAAGAUACUGAGCCACUGAGAUCAUCGAACACAUGCUAUAAUGGGAAGAACAAAUGAAAUUCAUUUAGAAAUCUACUCUCCUACA